UAUGUGUGUGUGUGUGCGUGUGUGUGUUAAGAAAUAGCGGAAGUUCUUGGAACACCCAGCAGGCAUGGGAUAUCAGCUAGAACUGCUUGUCUAUGUUGUGUCACCGGCAUACAUGCCUGCUUGCGUUUUGCCUGACUCUCGCCUUCAUAUAGUCUACUUACCGUGUUGGAUGGACGCUCAUUAUAACUUUUCAAAACAGAUACUAGCUUCAACACGCAGGACAAUUUUCUAAAGCUUCACGAAUAUAGCAGUAAUACAGAGUGCCAAACCAGGGAGUAAAAAUAUUAUACAUAUAUAUAUAUAUAUAUAAAUACAUUACUUUCACACCCGUAUGUACGAUAUAUAGAUAAAUAUAUUUUUAUAAAUUAUAUUUAUUUAUAUACCUGGCAGUGAGAAAGAACCUGAGUGAUAACUAACAAACGUAAAAAAUCUAGUGGUGAUCCCCAGAUGUCGUUCACGGAAUGAGCUGUUAUUCUGGUGCAGAGAUUACAAAAAACAGUGCUGUAUGAAAUAUAUAUGUGAAAGAGUGGAUUUGUUUUCCAAAGUAUAGUGUGCAGUCUUCCUUUUGUGAUAUUGUGACUCCAUUACAUCCAAAGAUGUUUUAUUUCGCAAACUAUUGCAUGAUUCUAUUUGAUAAGUCCGAUGUUAGAUAAACAAUAAUAUCAUUUUAUUUUUACGUUAGGUAUUUAUGUGUAUAUAGGAUAUGUUACUGAAUUUUGUCAAGUAGUUUCAUUUGUUUCCAUAAUUCUGUUAUUUGAGUUCUAUACUAUGAAUGUUCCUAAUGUGUCCACAUGUGCACUUUUAAACUCCUGAUUUAUUUCUUCAAUACUAUUCCUUCUGUACAUUACAAGGCAUAAAUCUAAAGAGCUAUAAAACACUUUUGUUUUUCUGUCAGUUGAUGCACUAGAAAUUCACAACAAUAGGUGUUUGUGCUUAUUAAAUAUGUGUAUGUUCUUAUGUACGUUUGUAUACAUUUAGUGUGUGGUUGCAAACAAAACAUCUGUAUAAAAUCAUCAAUAUCUUGUGACAUUAAUAACGCAGAAGAAUUUUGCUGAGAGCAGUAAUGUCAGCCAGAAAAUAAGACAAUGGACAAAAUCAGCAAGAACGUAGAAAUGUUUGAUAAGAAAUGUUUGAAAGGAUUGAGAGAAUGAUGGAAACGAAAAUUUAAAAAUAAAAUCUCAUGGAAGUCGACACACCAUAUACUCUUCUGUUACUAAUUAUAUUUCUAAAAUAAAAUUUCUGUAAUAAAAAAAAAUACCCAUACUA
Molecule: long non-coding RNA, 1266 nt
Organism: Octopus sinensis (East Asian common octopus)
Lineage: Eukaryota; Metazoa; Mollusca; Cephalopoda; Octopoda; Octopodidae
Exons: 2
Source: RefSeq, a predicted model, not a curated record